AUUUGUAUUUAUUGAGGUGUUAAUUCUGUCUCUUUUCAUGAUCCUCUAAUCUCCUGUAGGUGUAUGCCAGGGAGUGGUCGUCACACAGAUUCCGAAUUUGUUGUUAGUGAUGGAGGGAUCGCCGGCAAAUAUGACUUGUAGCCAAGAUGCCAACAAUGUAAACAUGUUCUGGUACCAACAGAAACCAGGAGAAGGACUAAAGCUUAUGAUCUGGUCAAUGCAAGCUGAUAAAAAGCAGACAAUGGAAUCAGACUUUCAAUCAGGCUGGGAGCUAGAGAGGAAUGACAUUGAGAAUUCAGUUCUACACCUUGAAUCUGCCAGAAUACAGAACUCGGCUGUGUAUUUCUGUGCAUCGAGUGCCACA
Molecule: long non-coding RNA, 364 nt
Filed under: Pelobates cultripes (western spadefoot toad)
Lineage: Eukaryota; Metazoa; Chordata; Amphibia; Anura; Pelobatidae
Source: RNAcentral